AUGUAACAUCACAACAUGUAUGUAACUGUCGUAGUAUGUAACAUCACAUCAUGUAUGUAACUGUAGUAGUAUGUAACAUCACAACAUGUAUGUAACAUCACAUCAUGUAUGUAACAUCACAACAUGUAUGUAACUGUAGUAGUAUGUAACAUCACAUCAUGUAUGUAACUGUAGUAGUAUGUAACAUCACAACAUGUAUGUAACAUCACAUCAUGUAUGUAACAUCACAUGUAUGUAACUGUAGUAGUAUGUAACAUCACAUCAUGUAUGUAACUGUAGUAGUAUGUAACAUGUAUGCAACUUUAGUAGUAUGUAACAUUAUGUAUGUAACUGUAAUAGUAUGUAACAUGUAUGUAACUUUAGUAGUAUGUAACAUGUAUGUAACAUUAUGUAUGCAACUGUAGUAGUAUGUAACAUCACAUCAUGUAUGUAGCAGCAUGUAUGUAACUGUAGUAGUAUGUAACAUGUAUGUAACAUCACGUAUGUAACUGUAGUAGUAUGUAACAUCACGUAUGUAACUGUAGUAGUAUGUAACAUCAUGUAUGUAACUGUAGUAGUAUGUAACAUCACGUAUGUAACAUCAUGCAUGUAACUGUAGUAGUAUGUAACAUGUAUGUAACUGUAGUAGUAUGUAACAUGUAUGUAACAUCACGUAUGUAACUGUAGUAGUAUGUAACAUCACGUAUGUAACUGUAGUAGUAUGUAACAUCAUGUAUGUAACUGUAGUAGUAUGUAACAUCACAUAAUGUAUGUAACUGUAGUAGUAUGUAACAUCAUGCAUGUAACUGUAGUAGUAUGUAACAUGUAUGUAACUGUAGUAGUAUGUAACAUCACAUAUGUAACUGUAGUAGUAUGUAACAUCACAUAUGUAACUGUAGUAGUAUGUAACAUCAUGUAUGUAACUGUAGUAGUAUUAUGUAACAUGUAUGUAACUGUAGUAGAAUGUAACAUCACAUAUGUAACUGUAGUAGUAUGUAACAUCAUGUAUGUAACUGUAGUAGUAUGUAACAUGUACGUAACUGUAGUAGUAUGUAACAUGUACGUAACUGUAGUAGUAUGUAACAUGUAUGUAACUGUAGUAGUAUGUAACAUCAUGUAUGUAACUGUAGUAGUAUGUAACAUCACAUAUGUAACUGUAGUAGUAUGUAACAUCAUGUAUGUAACUGUAGUAGUAUGUAAC
Long non-coding RNA from Oncorhynchus tshawytscha (Chinook salmon), 1180 nucleotides. The record is from Ensembl. Lineage: Eukaryota; Metazoa; Chordata; Actinopteri; Salmoniformes; Salmonidae.